ACGUCGUGGGCUGCAGCGCAGCAGCACCCAACGCAUCUAGCAGGAAAGGAGAGGGAGCUUUCCCCGAAGACCCUCCUGGACCAGCCCCAGGCUCCUGUGCUGGCGGUUCUGAGAAGUCCAAGGGUUGCUGGGAGAGGUUGGUUGCACGCCAGGGCCUGUACUGACCACCUCCACGUGCCACUGGGGCUGUAAGGAGGAAUGGCGGCCGUGGGCAGCCUGCUUGG
This 224-nucleotide long non-coding RNA is filed under the name Homo sapiens (human). RNAcentral describes it as "non-protein coding lnc-C1orf35-2:3". Lineage: Eukaryota; Metazoa; Chordata; Mammalia; Primates; Hominidae. The record is from RNAcentral.